Molecule: microRNA, 22 nt
Filed under: Picea abies (Norway spruce)
Lineage: Eukaryota; Viridiplantae; Streptophyta; Pinopsida; Pinales; Pinaceae
Description: pab-miR11476b
Source: miRBase by way of RNAcentral
GAUUGCAGUAGGGUUGUUUAGC